UACGAAGGGGGCUAGCGUUGCUCGGAAUCACUGGGCGUAAAGGGUGCGUAGGCGGGGCUUUAAGUCAGGGGUGAAAUCCUGGAGCUCAACUCCAGAACUGCCUUUGAUACUGAAGAUCUUGAGUUCGGGAGAGGUGAGUGGAACUGCGAGUGUAGAGGUGAAAUUCUUAGAUAUGACAUAGAACACCAAUUGCGAAGGCAGCUCGCUACGCGGUUAUUGACACUGAGGCACGAAAGCGUGGGGAUCAAACAGG
This 253-nucleotide ribosomal RNA is filed under the name uncultured bacterium. RNAcentral's name for it is "partial 16S ribosomal RNA". It matches the Rfam family "Bacterial small subunit ribosomal RNA", at positions 524 to 776 of the family's 1533-position model. The record is from RNAcentral.